AUCUGAUGGUGAGGACAACUGUCACAAAUCUUCUUGAAUCUCUCCCAAUACUCAUAUAAGCUCUCUCCACCAAGCUGCCUAAUCCCAGUGAUGUCUUUUCUGAUAGCU
This is a non-coding RNA of Vigna radiata var. radiata (mung bean), 108 nucleotides long. The record is from Rfam. NCBI's taxonomy places the organism in Eukaryota, Viridiplantae, Streptophyta, Magnoliopsida, Fabales, Fabaceae.